RNAcentral lists this ribosomal RNA (512 nucleotides) under uncultured Actinomycetes bacterium. RNAcentral's name for it is "bacterial SSU rRNA". It matches the Rfam family "Bacterial small subunit ribosomal RNA", at positions 384 to 886 of the family's 1533-position model. Lineage: Bacteria; Bacillati; Actinomycetota; Actinomycetes. The record is from RNAcentral.
UGACGCAGCGACGCCGCGUGGGGGAGGAAGGCCUUAGGGUUGUAAACCCCUGUCAGGUGGGACGAACCCCGGGUCGGCGAAUAAUCGGCUCGACUGACGGUACCACCAGAGGAAGCUCCGGCUAACUCCGUGCCAGCAGCCGCGGUAAUACGGAGGGAGCGAGCGUUGUUCGGAAUCACUGGGCGUAAAGGGCGCGUAGGCGGCCGAGUAAGUCGUGUGUGAAAGACCGGGGCUCAACUCCGGUAUUGCAUGCGAUACUGCCCGGCUAGAGAAAGGUAGAGGCGAGUGGAAUUCCCGGUGUAGCGGUGGAAUGCGUAGAUAUCGGGAAGAACACCUGUGGCGAAGGCGGCUCGCUGGGCCUUUUCUGACGCUGAAGUGCGAAAGCGUGGGGAGCAAACAGGAUUAGAUACCCUGGUAGUCCACGCCGUAAACGAUGGGCACUAGGCGUUGGGAGGAUUGACCCUCUCAGUGCCGUAGCUAACGCGUUAAGUGCCCCGCCUGGGGAGUACGGA